GCACCUCAUAAAACGGGUGCCGGGAUUUGCACCCCGAUGAUCACUAGAGCGCAUAACCGCGCCAAAGCGGUUUUUUU
RNAcentral lists this small RNA (77 nucleotides) under Escherichia coli. Its description in RNAcentral is "isrK". It matches the Rfam family "isrK Hfq binding RNA". RNAcentral also lists the same sequence under 21 other names. Lineage: Bacteria; Pseudomonadati; Pseudomonadota; Gammaproteobacteria; Enterobacterales; Enterobacteriaceae. The record is from RNAcentral.